CCUACGGGGGGCAGCAGUGGGGAAUAUUGGACAAUGGGGGGAACCCUGAUCCAGCCAUGCCGCGUGUGUGAAGAAGGCCCUCGGGUUGUAAAGCACUUUCAGUGAGGAAGAACGCCUGGUGGUUAAUACCCAUCAGGAAAGACAUCACUCACAGAAGAAGCACCGGCUAACUCCGUGCCAGCAGCCGCGGUAAUACGGAGGGUGCGAGCGUUAAUCGGAAUUACUGGGCGUAAAGCGCGCGUAGGUGGCUUGAUAAGCCGGUUGUGAAAGCCCCGGGCUCAACCUGGGAACGGCAUCCGGAACUGUCAAGCUAGAGUGCAGGAGAGGAGGGUAGAAUUCCCGGUGUAGCGGUGAAAUGCGUAGAGAUCGGGAGGAAUACCAGUGGCGAAGGCGGCCUUCUGGACUGACACUGACACUGAGGUGCGAAAGCGUGGGUAGCAAACAGGAUUAGAUACCCUGGUAGUC
This 465-nucleotide ribosomal RNA is filed under the name Vreelandella stevensii. RNAcentral describes it as "partial 16S ribosomal RNA". It matches the Rfam family "Bacterial small subunit ribosomal RNA", at positions 338 to 795 of the family's 1533-position model. The record is from RNAcentral. Lineage: Bacteria; Pseudomonadati; Pseudomonadota; Gammaproteobacteria; Oceanospirillales; Halomonadaceae.